RNAcentral lists this long non-coding RNA (318 nucleotides) under Brassica rapa (field mustard). RNAcentral's name for it is "long non-coding RNA (BRAP_LNC002177)". The record is from RNAcentral. Lineage: Eukaryota; Viridiplantae; Streptophyta; Magnoliopsida; Brassicales; Brassicaceae.
AUUUUUUUUCUCCUUUUUUCUUUUUUUUUUCUUGGUGAUAAUUAAUAUGCUAUCAUAUAUUAACAUUCGUGCACUCCAGAAAGAGUGGUUUCUUUGUAGUUACAAUCCGCCGUUGUUAGUUAUGCAUAAUCAAUUAAUUUUGAGAAAUACCAUAAAGUAGUAUUAAAACACUUUAUUAUUUCAAAAAUUAACACACAAAAUAACCAAAAUACCAUUACAUAAAAGUUAAAAAUACAUUUUAUUUUAUAUUUGGAUUUGGGGUUAUUUAUUACAGUUUAUAAUUUAAUAUUUAGGUUGUGACUGAAAAGUCUAUAUGAC